GGUUUUAACAAUAGAUUAAAAUAAGUAGAAUAAUAUUUUGAGGAAAUUGAGGAAAACUUCCCUGGCCUUGCUAGUGAUUUAGAUAUCCAAAAACUCACACGGCCUAUAAAGCAAUAAUACAAUGAAGAAAAAAAUGUAGGUAACAAUUCACAUGUUGAUUGGAACAGUAUCUUGACAUUAUGUUGAACGUAAAUGGCGUAAUGGUCCACUUAAAAUAUACAGAUUGGCAGAUUAGAUAAAAAAAUCACAAACUAGAUAUCUUCGGUCUUCAAGAGACUCACCUAACAUUGAGGGAUUUAUAUAAACUCAAGGUAAAAGAGUGGUAAAAGUUAAUCCAUGCAAAUGGAAACCCAAAGUGACCAGGAGUAGCUAUUCUUAUAUUAGAUAAAACAACAACAAACUUUAAAGCAACAGCAGUAAAAAAUGACAAAGAAGAUCAUUAUAUGAUGAUAAAAGGAUCAAUUCAACGAGAAGAUAUUAUAAUUUUAAAUGUAUAAGCACUUAUCCCUGGAGCUCUCAGAUUUUUAAAACAAUUACUACUUGACUUAAGAGAGGAGAUAGAAAGCAACACAAUUAUAGUGGGGGACUUCAACACCCCAUUGACAGCAGUAGACAGAUGGCGCAUGGAACAUUUUCCAUGAUAGACCUAUAUGACACACCACAAAACAAGUCUCAAUAAAUGUGAAAAAAUAAAAAUUAUAGAAAGUAUCUUCUCAGAUCACAGCAGAAUACAACUAGAAAUCAACUCCAGAAGAAACCCUCAAAACUAUACCUAUACAUAGAAAUUAAACAAUCUGUUCCUGAAUGAUUUUUGUGUUAAAAAUGAAAUCAAGUUGGAAAUUAAACAGUUCUUUGAAAUGAAUAAUAGUGACAUGAGUCAUCAGAACUUCUGGGAUACAGCAAAUGCAGUGCUAAGAGGAAUGUUUGUAGCACUAAAUGCCUACAUCAGAGCCUGAAAGACCACAAACUGACAACCUAAUGUAACACCUCAAAGAAUUAUAGAAACAAGAACAAACUAAGCCCAAAUCUAGAAGAAAAGAAGUAACAAAGAUUAGAGUAGAACUACAUGUAUUUGAACAAAAAAUCAAUACAAAAUAUCAAUGAAACAAAAAGUUGGUUCCUUGAAAAGGCAAAUAAAAUUGAUAUAACUUUAGCUAGAUUAACCAAGAAAAGAAGAGAGGAGAUUCAAAUAAGGUCAAUUAGAAAUAAAAUUGGAGACAUUACAACCUACACCACAGAAACACAAAAGAUCAUUUGAGAUAGCCAUGAACACAAACUAGAAACACAAACUAUGCACACAACCUAGGAAAUCUAGAGGAAAUGGAUAAAUUCCUGGAAACCUACAACUUUUUCAGAUUAAAUCAGGAAGAAAUAGCAACCCAGACCAGACCAAUAACAAGCAGCAAUAUUAAAUCAGUAAUUAAAAAUUGACAACAAAGAAAAAAAGCCCAGGAUCAGAUGGGUUCACAGCUGAAUUCUACCAGGCAUUCAAAGAAUUGGUACCAAUCCUACUGGUGAAACUAUUACAAAAGAUUGAGAAAGAGGGAAUCCUCCCUAACUCAUUCUGUUAAGCCAGUGUUACCCUGAUACCAGAACCAGGAAAGAACAUAACAAAAAAAGAAAACUACAGACCAAUAUCCCUGAUGAAUGUAGAUGCAAAAAUUCUCAACAAAAUACUAGAUAGCUGAAUCUAUCAGCACAUCAGAAAGAUAAUACAUCAUGAACAAAUGGGCUUCAUUCAAGGGAUGCAGGGAUGGUUUAACAUAAGCAUGUCAGUAAAUAUGAUUCAUCACAUAAACAGAAUUAAAAACAAAAACCAUAUGGUUAUCUCAAUAGCUGC
RNAcentral lists this long non-coding RNA (1840 nucleotides) under Pan troglodytes (chimpanzee). RNAcentral's name for it is "long non-coding RNA NONPTRT013139". The record is from RNAcentral. Lineage: Eukaryota; Metazoa; Chordata; Mammalia; Primates; Hominidae.